AAGGUAACGGAGGCGCUCAAAGGUUCUCUCAGUACGGUCGGAAAUCGUACGUAGAGUGUAAAGGCAAAAGAGAGCUUGAUUGCAAGACAUACAGGUCGAGCAAGGAUGAAAAUCGGACUUAGUGAUCCGGUGGUUCUGCGUGGACGGGCCAUCGCUCAACGGAUAAAAGCUACCCUGGGGAUAACAGGCGUAUCUCCCCCAAGAGUCCACAUCGACGGGGAGGUUUGGCACCUCGAUGUCGGCUCAUCACAUCCUGGGGCUGUAGUAGGUCCCAAGGGUUGGGCUGUUCGCCCAUUAAAGUGGUACGCGAGCUGGGUUCAGAACGUCGUGAGACAGUUCGGUCCCUAUCCGUCGCAGGCGUAGGAAAUUUGAGAAGACCUGUCCUUAGUACGAGAGGACCGGGAUGGACGUACCUCUGGUGUACCAGUUGUCCUGCCAAGGGCAUGGCUGGGUAGCUAUGUACGGAAUGGAUAAGCGCUGAAAGCAUCUAAGCGCGAAGCCAACUUCAAGAUAAGAUUUCCCACCGCAAGGGUAAGACCCCAGAAAGACUAUCUGGUUG
RNAcentral lists this ribosomal RNA (559 nucleotides) under Clostridioides difficile. Its description in RNAcentral is "bacterial LSU rRNA". It matches the Rfam family "Bacterial large subunit ribosomal RNA", at positions 2294 to 2855 of the family's 2925-position model. The record is from RNAcentral. Lineage: Bacteria; Bacillati; Bacillota; Clostridia; Peptostreptococcales; Peptostreptococcaceae.